GACGAACGCUGGCGGCGUGCCUAAUACAUGCAAGUAGAACGCACAGUUUAUACCGUAGCUUGCUACACCAUAGACUGUGAGUUGCGAACGGGUGAGUAACGCGUAGGUAACCUGCCUGGUAGCGGGGGAUAACUAUUGGAAACGAUAGCUAAUACCGCAUAAUAUUGAUUAUUGCAUGAUAAUUGAUUGAAAGAUGCUAUUGCAUCACUACCAGAUGGACCUGCGUUGUAUUAGCUAGUAGGUGAGGUAACGGCUCACCUAGGCGACGAUACAUAGCCGACCUGAGAGGGUGAUCGGCCAAACUGGGACUGAGACACGGCCCAGACUCCUACGGGAGGCAGCAGUAGGGAAUCUUCGGCAAUGGACGAAAGUCUGACCGAGCAACGCCGCGUGAGUGAAGAAGGUUUUCGGAUCGUAAAGCUCUGUUGUAAGAGAAGAACGGGUGUGAGAGUGGAAAGUUCACACUGUGACGGUAGCUUACCAGAAAGGGACGGCUAACUACGUG
This 505-nucleotide ribosomal RNA is filed under the name uncultured bacterium. RNAcentral describes it as "partial 16S ribosomal RNA". It matches the Rfam family "Bacterial small subunit ribosomal RNA", at positions 28 to 507 of the family's 1533-position model. The record is from RNAcentral.